Molecule: long non-coding RNA, 138 nt
Organism: Bufo bufo (common toad)
Lineage: Eukaryota; Metazoa; Chordata; Amphibia; Anura; Bufonidae
Exons: 3
Source: RefSeq, a predicted model, not a curated record
UUUGUUUUUGAAUUAUUUUGUCCCCAUUGACAAUGAAUGGGGACAAAACGGAAGCGUUUUUCUCUGGUAUUGAGACCCUAUAACGGAUCUCAAUAUCAGAAAAUAGACACGCUAGUGUGAAAGUAGCCUUUCACUGAU